Molecule: long non-coding RNA, 3361 nt
Filed under: Sus scrofa (pig)
Lineage: Eukaryota; Metazoa; Chordata; Mammalia; Artiodactyla; Suidae
Description: lncRNA (ENSSSCG00000060017.1)
Source: RNAcentral
CCUCUUAUACAUAAACAACAGCCAACUUCCUCUAUUAGGAAAGCAAACAAAAACCAUAUAGGCAACAGAGGUCUGAAAUUCCAUUAUCUUCAAAUUUAAACAUGGUCAGCUGAGAAGCAAGCUUAAAACAGACAACUCAGUCAAGUACUGUAUUUUAAAAUCUUAAUUUGUAAACUACUCCUCAUAAGAGAUAAAUUAACACAGGGUCACGGGCUUCAGCAAGUUACAGAGAGAGAUAAUACUGAGGCACAACCCUAACUCUGGUUCUGUUCAAUGUCAGUCUCUGCUGCUCAAUCUUGGGUAGCAAACAUACUUAGAUCUUGUCUUAAGUGAAAUCUUCUAGAUCAUAGGCAUUGCUUUCAGUGACCCUCCUACUCUUAACCAUUUCACCAGUUCUGGCUUUUAUAUAAGGGAAACAACACUAAAUUCCAUUAUGGCCUCUCAGCAUAUGGAUCUUAGUGCAGUAGAAGACCUAAUGGAUGAGAGGCAAAAUUCAACUACAUGACCUUAAGGAAAUUUAUCACUCUUCUGCACUUUUCAACUUCCUCCUCAGAAACAUCAGGGAACAAGACUAGAUAAGUUCUAAAGUCCAUUCCAAUCCUAAAAUUCUGAAACUGCCUUUGAUUCUAACAUUCAGUCUAGUUGUUAAAAGAAAUUCCUGAUUGUUUUGGCUAGUUAGAAAUCUUAGAGGAAAGAAAGUGUCUCACCUCUACCUUCCAAUGUAUUCUAAUUUAAUCCUUCUCUUUCCUGAAUUCCAAGGUGUUUUUGUGGAUUCUCUUUGUCAUUAGAAAAGUCUUCCUCCAACCUGAACCAAUAACUAAAACAAAAAAGAAGACAGGGCAAAGAAUCUAGCAUCCUUAUGAGUAAUUUCUCCUCACAGGAGAACCAUGUUUACCCUGUUCCACUUGACAAAUACAGAAUCAAGCACUGCCUCUUCUGAAGUUUAAUGGAAUGGUGAGACUUUUUUUUAACUAAGCCCUGUAUUAAAAAUAACUAAUUAACCCUACUCUCAAGACCCUUCCAUUUUAAAUAAUUUUAUUCUCCUAAGGGAAAUUGUUUCUCCUGAGUCUAUUGUUAAAAUUCUCAAAUCUUUUUCAUAAUGAAUACCUUUAAACAUAUUUUGAAUAUAACGAAACAGACUUUAAACAAAAUUUACAAAAUGUUUUGAUUAUGAAAAGGUUCUCAUUAAUUAGGUCUGGAAUAGGGUAUAUUAUUCCGGUGAAACUCAGUUGUCCCCUUCCUUCCAUAUCAUCUUCUUCUCCAUCUCAACUAAGAAGUCCAGACAUACUUCAUGAUGAGGGGUGCUCCUAAGGAACCUCUGCUGUAGGUGUAAGAGAAGAAAGAUCCAGCUAACUACAAAGAUCUGAUAUUUUUAUAUCUAAUGCCUUCUUCCCCAGCCAUGAAAACUGCUAUCCACUUCACAUAAAUGUUAGGCCAUACUGAUUAAUAACAAUUAGAAAAAGAAGAUGAAUCCAGAAUAAAGGUGAGUUUUUUUCUCAACUAUGGCCUGCAAGGUGUCACAUUUAGGAAAAAGACAUUGAAUUUGAAAUCUACAAAAAAUUGAAAGGCAAUUUAAAUCAUUAAUCUAAUCCUUUAAAAAUGCCAAAGGGAUCACUAGACAUGAAACUCAAAAGUGUAAAGCCCUCGUCACUCACCUCCAUGUAAAAGGAGUAGCCCUCACGACAGCAUGGCACUUGUCCUGCCAUCCCAAUCCUACUCCUCAGCCUUCCUCCAAAUAGCUCCUCAAGAUUCAGUCCAGACUGGGCCUUCUCUCUCCAUAAUUCAGGGUUUUUCUGAUCUAAGCCUUUCUUUCAAUAUGAACUCUUUACCUUUCCAAUAAAAAUAUGAUUCAGAUUGAGCCUUUCUUGCUUCCUUUCAAUCCCCAAUACUAUCCAGUAUAUGUUCAGUGAAAGCCCAGACCCAUUCCUGCCACUAUAGCAAAAGACCCUUUCUACUCUGGAGGUGGAGGAGAGUAAAUACUCACAAUCAAUGUUUUCAACCAGGUCAUAAGGGAACUAAGAAUGACAGGUUUUUGCUCUAUGAGCACUUAUCAUUGGAAGGACCAUCUGAUACACAGAGGCAAAUUUACUAUGAAACUCAUGAAGCUUAAACUUCAUUGCUCCUCACUUGCGUGGGACAUUCUAAGGCAUUGGGAAGAGCCUUGGCAGUGAAUUCAAAAAUUCACACGUUUUCAUAAAAUUUUCAAAAGUAAAAUAUAUUUAACAAUUGAUUCUGACUGGUAUUCUUUCCAUUUAGACCUGCCUUCCACAUUGCUUCUUCUCAUUUUUGGGUGGCAUUGGAGUUGUCACAGACAUUUUGGGGAUCUGGAUAUGAGAAAGCUAAGAAGAGAUAGGUUUAUUUGGGUAUCAAUGAAAUUUGUUUAGGGGUUUUACAGUCAUCUCCACAAAUCAUUUUUCUACCAUCAACGUAUUUUCCGGUGCUAAAGACCACAUUCAUAUUUGUCACAUCACCUCCAACCUCCCAAUUAUGUGUUCCCUUUCUCCCUCAAACCCCUCCUUACACAGAGCACACUAGAGAAAGGACUGGCAUAUAUUAUUCUCUCUAAAGAAAGCUAGACCAUAAAAUUGUUAUAUAAAAUGUAAGAAAAAUACAUAGCCAAAAUGCAUCAUGCAGGGUAUUGAUAAAAGUAUUAGGUUAUUUUCUGAAUUUUGUGAAAUUUGUAGUACUGGUCAGUUUUCCUUAAAUGUGUUAUUUAUAUUUCUUCUCUCAUUCCAAAUCAGCAUUCACAUAUAAUCAGUACUUAAUGUUGUGUUUUUAAGUUUGUAUGCUUUUUCUUAAUGAGGGUCCCUGAAAUUGUAUAAUCUUGAGGCCCCACAGAACCUGGAUCCAUCCCUGGGGGAAAAUAUUCCUUUCUUCUUUGAAUCCAUCUUGUGUAAACAGAGCAAAAGAAACGUAUGUGACUCUCAGGGAAAAUGUUGACCCUUCCAAGUCUGAAGAGAUAUGAAUGGCAAUGAUUUGCACUGUGCCCCUUAAUAUUAAGUAGGUAUAAAAUGCCACUCACCUUGUCAUUAUUUUGAGUAGGAACUUAACUUGUCUUAAUUUGGUGAAUGGAAAAACCAUUCCAAAGAGCCUUACAGAUUUACUUGGAACCUGGCCUCCAUUUCUAUUUUUUUAUAACAUCUUUUCCUCAACCACAAAUUUUCCUGCCAUAUAACUUUAAAGGACAUAACUCUCACAGUUGGGCAGAUGCUAUACACAUCUGUGAUAUAAUCAAUAAUGUGUCUCAACAGCAUAUAUAAAAAUAUUCUCAAAAUUUUAACCUAAAAUCACAAAAGUAUCACCUGAAAAAAUUAUUCUUAUGAGUAAAGGGAUUUAACAAAGUUGUCCAACAGAAUAAACG